This 253-nucleotide ribosomal RNA is filed under the name uncultured bacterium. RNAcentral's name for it is "partial 16S ribosomal RNA". It matches the Rfam family "Bacterial small subunit ribosomal RNA", at positions 524 to 776 of the family's 1533-position model. The record is from RNAcentral.
GACGGAGGGCGCAAGCGUUGUUCGGAAUUACUGGGCGUAAAGCGCACGCAGGCGGUCUGCUAAGUCCUUUGUGAAAGCCCGGGGCUCAACCCCGGAAUUGCAUCGGAUACUGGCAGACUGGAGACUGGUAGAGGCUAGCGGAAUUCCUGGUGUAGCGGUGGAAUGCGUAGAUAUCAGGAAGAACACCUGUGGCGAAGGCGGCUAGCUGGGCCAGUUCUGACGCUCAUGUGCGAAAGCGUGGGGAGCAAACAGG